GUCACAGUUCGGAUUGAAGGCUGAAAUUCGCCUUCAUGAAGCCGGAAUUGCUAGUAAUGGCAGGUCAGAAUACUGCCGUGAAUACGUUCCCGGGCCUUGUACACACCGCCCGUCACACCAUGAGAGUUGGGAAUACCCGAAGCCCGUGAGCUAACCGAAAGGGAGCAGCGGUCGAAGGUAGAAUCAAUGAGUUGGGGUGAAGUCGUAACAAGGUAAC
Molecule: ribosomal RNA, 217 nt
Filed under: uncultured bacterium
Lineage: Bacteria
Description: partial 16S ribosomal RNA
Rfam family: Bacterial small subunit ribosomal RNA
Source: RNAcentral